This 485-nucleotide ribosomal RNA is filed under the name uncultured bacterium. Its description in RNAcentral is "bacterial SSU rRNA". It matches the Rfam family "Bacterial small subunit ribosomal RNA", at positions 408 to 893 of the family's 1533-position model. The record is from RNAcentral.
AAGAAGGCCCUAUGGAUUGUAAACUGCUUUUAUUUGGGAAAAAACCCCUUUACGUGUACAGGGCUGAAAGGACCAAACGAAUAAAGACCGGCUAACUUCGCGCCAGCAGCCGCGGCAAUACGGAGGGUGCAAGCGUUAUCCGGAUUCAUUGGGUUUAAAGGGUACGCAGGCCGAUCUAUAAGUCAAUGGUGAAAGCCUACAGCUUAACUGUAAAACUGCCAUUGAUACUGGACGGCUUGAAUUCAGUCGAAGUGAGCGGAAUGUGUCAUGUAGCGGUGAAAUGCAUAGAUAUGACACAGAACACCGCUUGCGAAGGCAACUCACUAAGCCUGAACUGACGCUCAGGGACUAAAGCGUGGGGAGCGAACAGGAUUAGAUACCCUGGUAGUGCACGCCGCAAACGAUAAUUACUCGAUAUUGGCGAUAUACUGUCAGUGCCUAAGCGAAAGCGAUAAGUAAUGCACCUGGGGAGUACGAAGGCCAGG